Molecule: ribosomal RNA, 468 nt
Filed under: uncultured bacterium
Lineage: Bacteria
Description: partial 16S ribosomal RNA
Rfam family: Bacterial small subunit ribosomal RNA
Source: RNAcentral
GACGAACGCUGGCGGCGUGCUUAACACAUGCAAGUCGAACGAAAAGGCCCUGCUUUUGUGGGGUGCUCGAGUGGCGAACGGGUGAGUAACACGUGAGUAACCUGCCCUUGACUUUGGGAUAACUUCAGGAAACUGGGGCUAAUACCGGAUAGGAGCUCCUGCUGCAUGGUGGGGGUUGGAAAGUUUCGGCGGUUGGGGAUGGACUCGCGGCUUAUCAGCUUGUUGGUGGGGUAGUGGCUUACCAAGGCUUUGACGGGUAGCCGGCCUGAGAGGGUGACCGGCCACAUUGGGACUGAGAUACGGCCCAGACUCCAACGGGAGGCAGCAGUGGGGAAUAUUGCACAAUGGGCGGAAGCCUGAUGCAGCAACGCCGCGUGCGGGAUGACGGCCUUCGGGUUGUAAACCGCUUUCGCCUGUGACGAAGCGUGAGUGACGGUAAUGGGUAAAGAAGCACCGGCUAACUACGUG